GACGAACGCUGGCGGCAUGCCUAAUACAUGCAAGUCGAGCGAACAGAUGAAGUGCUUGCACUUCUGACGUUAGCGGCGAACGGGUGAGUAACACGUAAGGAAUCUACCUAUAAGCGGGGGAUAACAUUCGGAAACGGGUGCUAAUACCGCAUAAUAUCUUCUUCCGCAUGGAAGAAGAUUGAAAGACGGCUCUGCUGUCACUUAUAGAUGACCUUGCGGUGCAUUAGUUAGUUGGUGGGGUAACGGCCUACCAAGACGAUGAUGCAUAGCCGACCUGAGAGGGUGAUCGGCCACAUUGGGCCUGAGACACGGCCCAAGCUCCUACGGGAGGCAGCAGUAGGGAAUCUUCCGCAAUGGGCGAAAGCCUGACGGAGCAAUGCCGCGUGAGUGAAGAAGGCCUUCGGGUCGUAAAACUCUGUUAUAAGAGAAGAACAAAUUGUAGAGUAACUGCUACAGUCUUGACGGUAUCUUAUCAGAAAGCCACGGCUAACUACGUGCCAGCCGCCGCCAUAA
Molecule: ribosomal RNA, 513 nt
Filed under: uncultured bacterium
Lineage: Bacteria
Description: partial 16S ribosomal RNA
Rfam family: Bacterial small subunit ribosomal RNA
Source: RNAcentral